This is a long non-coding RNA of Gasterosteus aculeatus aculeatus (three-spined stickleback), 300 nucleotides long. The record is from Ensembl. Lineage: Eukaryota; Metazoa; Chordata; Actinopteri; Perciformes; Gasterosteidae.
CGUGGGUGUGCGCGAUGGUGGUCUGGUGAUUCUUUCAUGGCUUAAUGAGGGUUUCCUGGUCUGUUGCUUUGUUCCGGUUGCCAAGCAACGACAAGAUCAACAGCGUCGGCUCCCACCUGUGCCCAAUCACACACCUGGCCCUGAUGAGCACCACCACAGCAUUUAAGCAGAGACCUGACAUCCAGUCCCUGCCAGAUCGUUAACCAUACCAUCACUCACCCCCUGGAUUCCCGUCACCCCCGCCUGGCAACCUGAACCUUUUCCCUCACCACGACAUCACCAGCAUUCUCCUGUCUGCAC